GGAGAACUAAAAUUUGGCAAAAUUGAUCAGAUGGAACUCGUUGUGAUAAUCAAGUGGCUCUUCAUAUCACAUCAAAUCCAGUGUUUCAUGAAAGGACCAAGUCACUUUGUCGGAGAAAAAAUACUCUCAGGAGAUAUUGUUACAAAAUUCGUGAAGUCAAAUGAUCAGCUUGCAGAUAUCUUCACCAAGUCCCUCAUAGUCCUCGUAUUAAUUACAUUUGUA
This 222-nucleotide unclassified non-coding RNA is filed under the name Hevea brasiliensis (rubber tree). Lineage: Eukaryota; Viridiplantae; Streptophyta; Magnoliopsida; Malpighiales; Euphorbiaceae. The record is from RNAcentral.